UUGGCGAGUUGGUCCAAGGCAUCUUGGGAGGAGCCGGAGAUGUUGUUGGAGGAGCAUUGGAUGUUUAAGUGCAGAUACUUCGUUUGUGAAUGACAAUGGAUAAAGAGAAUGCGAAUCUUCAAAAAGUCAUUCAAUAAAAUAUUAGUGAACAUCGAUUGCACCAUUUCUUCUAUAGUUCAAAUCACACGGCCGAGAUAUAAUUUGUAUACCAUUCAUUCUCAUUUGAGCCUUGAUUAGAUUAAGAUUGGAAAACACAUUAAAUCAAUAAAAAUCCAAAAAUAAA
Long non-coding RNA from Argiope bruennichi, 283 nucleotides. RefSeq lists it as uncharacterized. The transcript has 5 exons. Lineage: Eukaryota; Metazoa; Arthropoda; Arachnida; Araneae; Araneidae. The record is from RefSeq and is a predicted model, not a curated record.